This is a long non-coding RNA of Oncorhynchus tshawytscha (Chinook salmon), 427 nucleotides long. The record is from Ensembl. NCBI's taxonomy places the organism in Eukaryota, Metazoa, Chordata, Actinopteri, Salmoniformes, Salmonidae.
CGAUACGUGAACAUGUCACUUAUAGCUAGCUAAUAAAGAGCUACGUUAAGAAAUAUCCUGUAGUACUGCAUUUUAUUAUUUUGUACAAAGUGUGCAAAACAAGACAAUCACGGCGCUAAAUUGAGAAGAAAAAAACAUUAAACAAGUUCAAAUUCAAAACAGUGUAAGCGUUUUGGAAAGGAAUUAUUAGAUGGCUUAUUUGACCGACUGGUAGAUGAGGUAUUGGUAAAUCAAGGCACUUCCUGCUCUGGGUUCCAGAGCCCCUACACCUGUGGGUGUGGCCAUCCUAGCUCCGCCCACCAGACACUGGUGAAGACUAUGGUGCAACGGGGGCCCGGGGUCGGCAGUGACUUUGCAUACGCAGCCAUGGGGGUAUAAUGGGGUUCAGCUCCCUGGCUGACAGGUACACUGGAUGACAGCGGGGCAG